This 200-nucleotide unclassified non-coding RNA is filed under the name Tomentella sp. RNAcentral describes it as "partial internal transcribed spacer 2". Lineage: Eukaryota; Fungi; Basidiomycota; Agaricomycetes; Thelephorales; Thelephoraceae. The record is from RNAcentral.
UUAAGUUCAGCGGGUAGUCCUACCUGAUUUGAGAUCAAACGUUCAAAAGCUGUCUUCGCUGAGGAGAGACAUUUGUGAGCUCCAGCGAACCUCCAUUGCUGAAGGUUACCUGGUGGGAGACCACGAGCGUAGAUAGUUAUCACACCCGUGACGCCACCAAACACUGGCAAGCUGAUUCAUUUGAGAGGAGCCGACGGUAU